This 510-nucleotide long non-coding RNA is filed under the name Pandoravirus neocaledonia. RNAcentral's name for it is "hypothetical ncRNA". The record is from RNAcentral.
CGCAGCAUCUCGCGCAGGUCGCGCGCGUCGGCCGUUCCUUCUGUGAUGCGCGCGCACAUGGACCGAAGGUCGGCCACAUGCUCUUGAGGGGCGGUCCGAUCGACCGCCCGCUGUCUCUUGCGUGCCGGUGGCCCCGCGGGCGCCGCGCCCUCGUCCCCCUCGCCUCUGCUACCAACGGGGGAUGUCUGUCGCUUCAUGACAGGUCGUCCUUCUUUUUUUUAUUUUAUUUUUUGCUUGGCGUUGUUGUUGGUAUUUUGCCUUGCUUCUAGGCUGUGCCGUUUUUCCUCCUCCUUUGCUGGUCCUGCUGCGACGGUGCGGCACUCUGCGCAUCCCACAAAAGUUGGUUCCUCUUUUUCCCUUCUCCCCGGCGGACGGAACCAUUUGCAGCACAGCCAACCCCGGCCCCGGUCGCCCAAUCCAGAGGCUUAUCGCCUUGUACGCCAUGGGUUCGACCGAAAAUGGGAAAAAUAAAAAGACACUCAAGGCAGCCUUUGCGCGUCGCCUUUUUUC